This 340-nucleotide long non-coding RNA is filed under the name Zea mays. Its description in RNAcentral is "long non-coding RNA (ZMAY_LNC001826)". The record is from RNAcentral. Lineage: Eukaryota; Viridiplantae; Streptophyta; Magnoliopsida; Poales; Poaceae.
GCAUCGACUACUCUAGACUUGGUGGUAGAGGUAAGUUUGACGAGCACCAACAUGCAUCUUGUAGACAUAGACAUAUAUCUGUUCUCAGCAACUUGGCCUCUGUUAUCUCUGCACAUGUUAAUCCUGUAUAUGCGUCCAUGAAACACAAAUAAACAAAGGCAAUGAUUUCAUUUGAAAAAUCCACCAGACAUCAAACCUGUAAUACUCACUUUACUGUAUUCCCAGGCCUGCGAAGGCAAGAACAGAUGCGCGAUCAGUGUUACCAACGAAGUAUUCGGAGAUCCAUGCCGCAAAGUCGUCAAGGAUUUGGCAGUUGAAGCCGAGUGCUCCCCGCCAUCGG